Molecule: ribosomal RNA, 483 nt
Filed under: uncultured bacterium
Lineage: Bacteria
Description: partial 16S ribosomal RNA
Rfam family: Bacterial small subunit ribosomal RNA
Source: RNAcentral
GACGAACGCUGGCGGCGUGCUUAACACAUGCAAGUCGAACGAUGAAGCGGGUGCUUGCACUCGUGGAUUAGUGGCGAACGGGCGAGUAACACGUGAGUAACCUGUCCUUUUCUUUGGGAUAACGGCUGGAAACGGCUGCUAAUACUGGAUAUUCAGGCUGCAUCGCAUGGUGUGGUUUGGAAAGGUUUUUUCUGGGAUUGGGUGGGCUCGCGGCCUAUCAGCUUGUUGGUGGGGUGAUGGCUUACCAAGGCUUUGACGGGUAGCCGGACUGAGAGGGUGGUCGGUCGCACUGCGACUGAGAUACGGCCCAGACUCCUACGGGAGGCAGCAGUGGGGAAUAUUGCACAAUGGACGAAAGUUUGAUGCAGCGACGCCGCGUGGAGGGUGUAGGCCUUCGGGUUGUGAACUCCUUUUUCUCGCGAAAAAGGCACAGUUUUGGCUGUGUUGAUGGUAGUGGGGGAAGAAGCGCCGGCUAACUACGUG